CAUGGAGGCCCUCAGGUACCUUUUAUCCUUUCCCAUGCUGGUGAGUCCAUUGUGAGCAGAGUAGGUGCCAGGAGUGGGUGUGUUUCCCUGGAAGGUCAAUGGCUAUUAGGUGAAGGGGGCCCCAUUCACCUGAGGGGGUCUCGGGGUUCUUGGGGGACAUCAUUAAAUUGUGUUGGCCAGGACGGUACGUGGAGUGGAAUUGCAGGCCUGAGACCAGGCAGUUGGCAGAUUGGCAUUCUUUGUCCUGAUGGUCCCUUGACUCUGAAUGUAUCCGUGCACCAACACAUCCCUGUUUGGCUGCCUACACAGCACACCUUCUUGCAGCAAUUGAAUGGUAGACGCCAGAAUGAUUGGCAGUGCUCCCGGAGGCCUGGCCUCUUUCCCCAGUACACCUGGUGCUCUUCCUCACACAUGUGUUUUCUUGCCCCAGGCCAGGUUGAGUGGCCCAAAAUGGAAGACUGUUGGCAACAGGUUACCCAUCGCAUAUUCCAUGAUAGCCAGCCUCUCGAGAUGAAUAUCAUGAAUCCCCAGAGACAACUGGACAAGUGGGCCUUGCGUGUACAGAUGGAACACCCAUGGCGGUGCAUUUGGAGCGAAGGACAACAGUGGCAGAUUUAUGGACCAUCCAACAGUUUUCCUCUCCCAUAAUCAGUUCCUCUGUGGCGGAAUUCCAGAUCCACAAGUGGUUGGUAUCAUGUCCUGUCUUGUCCUGGUGGCCAAUUAUGAGGCAAAGGGGAUGUAUGAGGCAAACAGAAAACAUCUCUCCAUGUUCUCCCUGUGUGCAUAGCAUAAGGUGUGCCUCAGGAUAUCCACAUGUUAUCUCUAUAUCCAGCCCACCUAUCCUUUCCCCAGUUUAGGAGUUUUUCCUGGAAUUCAGUGGGCUGGACCCGGUGAAAACAGAGGAGUCAGUUGCCCACAUAAGCGGAUGCUGUCUUAAGGACAGGAGAGGCUUUCUGUCACAGGGGUCUUUUUGUUUUGUGGCCUGCUGGUGCAGCAACACUGUGGUCUCUUGUGUUCCUAGCCUCAAGCCAGAGACAUCAUCAUGGGUUCAGCAGCUGCAGCUGUUUCUGGAUUCUGUCAUGGCAUGGCUUGUGCUGUCAAGAUGGUCAUGGAUCACGUGGGUCUUGUGUUGUCUCCGGGGCCACUGUAGUGAUGUUUCACUGCCUUAAAAAGUGCAAUACAUCACAAUGAGUAACUUACAUGCUGUAAAAAGGGUGGAGCGCCACAUCUUUGCAUUUCAGAAUAGUUCCAAUGGCCUGUAGUUUUUUGUGUUUUUCAAGCUAAACACUUGUAGCAUGGCUGUAGUCUGGGAAACAAGCACACUUGUGUGCUACCUAGAUUGUUCACAGCUGUACUGUGGAGCCCCUUUGUUGCACAGCCCAAGAACUAGUUUCAUGGAUAAUCUCCUUGUCAAAGGAGGGCCUUAUUCUUAUGCAAGCUCUCAGAUACCUUUGUUCCUUCCCCAUGGUGGUGAGACCAUUUUGAGCAGAGUAGGUACCAAGAGUGUGUUUUCCUGGAGGGACAGUGGUAGUUCAGACAAGGUGGCCUCCUUCCCCUGAGGGUGAAUUGGGGUUUCUUAGAGGUUAUCUUUACAUUGGGUGAAAAAGUUGGCU
This 1613-nucleotide long non-coding RNA is filed under the name Bos indicus x Bos taurus (hybrid cattle). RNAcentral's name for it is "lncRNA (ENSBIXG00005025459.1)". Lineage: Eukaryota; Metazoa; Chordata; Mammalia; Artiodactyla; Bovidae. The record is from RNAcentral.